This 338-nucleotide unclassified non-coding RNA is filed under the name soil metagenome. RNAcentral describes it as "partial contains 5.8S ribosomal RNA, internal transcribed spacer 2, and large subunit ribosomal RNA". The stretch from base 1 to 120 matches the Rfam family "5.8S ribosomal RNA", at positions 35 to 154 of the family's 154-position model. The record is from RNAcentral.
GAUGAAGAACGCAGCGAAAUGCGAUAAGUAGUGUGAAUUGCAGAAUUCAGUGAAUCAUCGAAUCUUUGAACGCACAUUGCGCCCCUUGGUAUUCCAUGGGGCAUGCCUGUUCGAGCGUCAUUUGUACCUUCAAGCUCUGCUUGGUGUUGGGUGUUUGUCUCGCCUCUGCGUGUAGACUCGCCUCAAAACAAUUGGCAGCCGGCGUAUUGAUUUCGGAGCGCAGUACAUCUCGCGCUUUGCACUCAUAACGACGACGUCCAAAAGUACAUUUUUACACUCUUGACCUCGGAUCAGGUAGGGAUACCCGCUGAACUUAAGCAUAUCAAUUAAGCGGAGGA